This 503-nucleotide ribosomal RNA is filed under the name uncultured bacterium. RNAcentral's name for it is "bacterial SSU rRNA". It matches the Rfam family "Bacterial small subunit ribosomal RNA", at positions 29 to 524 of the family's 1533-position model. The record is from RNAcentral.
AUUGAACGCUGGCGGCAUGCUUUACACAUGCAAGUCGAACGGUAACAGGCCUUCGGGUGCUGACGAGUGGCGAACGGGUGAGUAAUGCAUCGGAACGUGCCCAAUCGUGGGGGAUAACGUAGCGAAAGUUACGCUAAUACCGCAUAAGCCCUGAGGGGGAAAGCAGGGGAUCGCAAGACCUUGCGCGAAUGGAGCGGCCGAUGUCAGAUUAGCUAGUUGGUGGGGUAAAGGCCUACCAAGGCGACGAUCUGUAGCGGGUCUGAGAGGAUGAUCCGCCACACUGGGACUGAGACACGGCCCAGACUCCUACGGGAGGCAGCAGUGGGGAAUUUUGGACAAUGGGCGCAAGCCUGAUCCAGCCAUGCCGCGUGCGGGACGAAGGCCUCGGUUGUAAACCGACUUUCAGCCGGAAAGAAAUACGCCAAGGCUAAUAAUCCUUGGUGGAGUGACGGUACCGGAAGAAGAAGACACCGGCUAACUACGUAGCCAGCAGCCGCGGUAAA